Equus asinus (donkey) is the source of this 1290-nucleotide long non-coding RNA. The record is from Ensembl. Lineage: Eukaryota; Metazoa; Chordata; Mammalia; Perissodactyla; Equidae.
CGCGCGCCCGGGGCGGGGACCCGCUCCCCUUGCUGGGCGCUCCCUCGCGGCGCAGUGCAGUGCCGGGGCCGCGGGCAGGGAGCCCCCAGGCAAGACUUCAGGUCGUUACUAGCUUUGAAGUAAGACUUUUCCUGUCCCCUGCCCCUGAGCCUCGGGGGCCCGGACUCUCCCUGACCGCAGAGCUAUGGGUCACCCAAAUCCGGCGCUGGCCUGGCUCUACCAAGUCCGCUGCUCGCCGGCCAGAGUGUGGGCGUCCUUCCUCCGGAGCCUCGCCAAAGCUGGCGUGGCGCUUCUCCGCUGACAGCUCUCCUCACUUCACAGUCUUUGGGUAUUUAAAGUCAUCGUGGUAACCCAUCCCCUGAUCUGGAUGCCUUUAAUUUUCUUAUGAAUUUACUGCGCUAGAGACGUUCAUUCCUUAAAACGCAUUGACUGGGGUCGCGCUUGGCUCAGGGCGCUGUCCCAGGCUCCUUGUCGCCCAAGUAUCCCAAAGCUCCCAUCCCUGCCCGCGCGGCCGGGUCAGUGAGCCCGCGCUGUUUGGAGGACGCCCAAAGAUUGCUGCCAGCGAGGAAGGCAUUCGGGCUCCCGACUGGAGUUCCAGGUCCUGGAAGAACGACUGGGAGUUGAAAGGUUACGCUCCAGGCCGGGGCUCCAUCGCGCGUUUGCAACCAUCAGACAGAGGGCCCAGACAGGAUCUUCCUAAGACGGACUGCCUCAGCCCCCAUAGCUAAGCUGUGAAAACACUCUCAGUUUUAGGAGCAGAAUGGAAGUCACUCCAUCAGAAUAAAGCGUUUGUGGAGCUACGCUGGCGAUUCCUAAAACCCUGAAAAUCCUCUCUCAGGACGGCGAAUUGAGGUUGUUCUCUCCGUGCACAUUUGCGCAGUAGAAAUGGAUGGCUGGUUCGCUGAUCUGUCCGCAGCAGCAAAAAAAAAAAAUCUUUAACAAGGGAACUUGAAAGGUCCAACUUCAGGCACAUGUGGAUUCAGAGGUUCCAGUGAUGUCAGAAGUAGAGCUAGAGUCUCAGCAUUGCCCACCCCCUCCUCUCCUCUCUGCUUUCUUCUGUGGGCUUCCUUGUUAAGGUGACUGACUUAACACCGUGGUACCUGGCAGCUCCAGGAUUAUCUUCUCCUCAGGGGUCAGGAUCUAAGAAUGAGGCAUCCCAGUGUUUCGUUGGUUCGAAUCCUGGGCGCGGACAUGGCACUGCUCAUCAAACCACGCUGAGGCAGCGUCCCACAUGCCACAACUAGAAGAACCCACAACGAAGAAUAUACAACUAUGUACUGGGGGCUUUGG